UGAGAAGAAAGAGAAACACAGGAGACGAAAGAGCAAGGCAAAUAUCUACAAGACCAAAUAAAUGAAGAUGAAAUAGGCAACCUACCUGAAAAAGAAUUCUCAGUAAUGAUAGCAAAGAUGAUCCAAAAUCUCAGAAACAGAA
This is a long non-coding RNA of Aethalodelphis obliquidens (Pacific white-sided dolphin), 142 nucleotides long. RefSeq lists it as uncharacterized. The transcript is spliced from 3 exons. The record is from RefSeq and is a predicted model, not a curated record. NCBI's taxonomy places the organism in Eukaryota, Metazoa, Chordata, Mammalia, Artiodactyla, Delphinidae.